CCCAAGGAUGGGGCCGCGGCCGAUCAGGUUGUUGGUGAGGUAAUGGCUCACCAAGCCUUUAACCGGUUCGGGCCGUGGGAGCGGUAGCCCGGAGAUGGGCACUGAGACAAGGGCCCAGGCCCUACGGGGCGCAGCAGUCGCGAAAACUUCGCAAUAAGCGAAAGCUUGACGGGGCCAUCCCGAGUGCCAUCUGCUGAGGAUGGCUUUUACCCAGUGUAGAUAGCUGGGAGAAUAAGGAGAGGGCAAGUCUGGUGUCAGCCGCCGCGGUAAUACCAGCUCUCCGAGUUGUGGGGACGUUUAUUGAGCCUAAAGCAUCCGUAGCCGGCUGGGCAAGUCCUCUGUUAAAUCCAGCGACAAAUCGUUGGCCUGCGGGGGAUACUGCUCGGCUAGGGGGCGGGAGAGGCCGUCGGUAUUCUUGGGGUAGGGGUGAAAUCCUAUAAUCCCAGGAGGACCACCAGUGGCGAAGGCUGUCGGCUAGAACGCGCCCGACGGUGAGGGAUGAAAGCUGGGGGAGCGAACCGGAUUAGAUACCCGGGUAGUCCCAGCUGUAAACGAU
This 556-nucleotide ribosomal RNA is filed under the name uncultured archaeon. RNAcentral describes it as "bacterial SSU rRNA". It matches the Rfam family "Archaeal small subunit ribosomal RNA", at positions 202 to 761 of the family's 1478-position model. The record is from RNAcentral.